Triticum aestivum (bread wheat) is the source of this 2241-nucleotide long non-coding RNA. RefSeq lists it as uncharacterized. The transcript is spliced from 3 exons. The record is from RefSeq and is a predicted model, not a curated record. NCBI's taxonomy places the organism in Eukaryota, Viridiplantae, Streptophyta, Magnoliopsida, Poales, Poaceae.
CGCGCGUGUCUUUGUUUCAUUCUCGCCAUCUCGGAUUAAUCGCAACAGCGGCAUGGUUUCAGUAGACCGAUUACUGUCAAAUAUCGUUGUGGUAGAAGGCCCACUUCGUUUGCCGAUUUACACGGGAUUUUUUUUCCAGUUGCUCGCUAGUACUCUGUUUGCGAAUUGUCGGCAACUUUGUGUGGAACCAUCUGCCAUUUCUUCGAUUUUCCUCCCCUUGUUGCCAAUUGUCCGCCCAGGGAGAUCUUUCCAUGGCAAAGAGAGGGAUCCCUCCUCGUCCUCCUCAAAAUCCCCGCCGGGCCUCGGUUUUUUCCUCAUUGUACCAAAUGAAGCCUCGAGCAAGUGUGUUUGCUGCGGCGGGGAUCUCUAAUCUGUGGGGUUUGCAACUUCACGGGGGCGGAGGAGGAUCACUGCGGUUUCUCCGUCACGGGUCUUCCUAACUAUAGCAUUCGGUGAUAGCUUUGUUCUUGAACAAUUAUUCCACAUGCACAGCUGUACUCGCUGCAGAGCAUUUUCCUUCCUUUUUGGGUGGUUUUUAUGGAGCUUUUCCCUGUUCGUCUCCCAGAAUCUUACACUGUAUUUGUACUUCUUCCUCAGAAAUUUUACGGAGCUUUUCUCAGUGUUCUCGGUUUCAAUUCCGUUCAUUUUGCUCGCCUUUUUGAUGAAAAAAAGUGCUCAGUAAUUUCUGUUCGUGCAAAUUCCGCCCCCGGUUUCGCCGUCGUGGCGUCAGUUCAAUUAAACCCAACCCUUCGUGCUGUUUCGGGCUACGCACGUACUUAGUACUCUUUUGCAGCAGCCGUAGACUCCCGGCCCACGGUUGGCCGCACUUUGUUUUGUGCGCACUCUUGAAUGCAGUAGAACUACCAUUAAUAUGCUGCUAAUCGUACUUGGUUUGUCAGGCCUUUCAUACGGCCCCAUAAACAAAUCGCUCCCAAAUGAUGGCCCAAAUCAUUGGGGAAAACAUUCUACUCUGGUUCUUCAUGUUUUGCUUAGAUUAGUUGUAUAGCGUGGCGAGUAAGGAUCUGCAUCUUUACCACGCAAAAAAGAAAAAGAUCUGACAUCUUUAGGCAGAAAUGCUGAUAGUGGCAGUAACCCCCUUUGCAAUUACCCCGCAAAUUUGUAUUAUUGUCACCCAUUGCCUCUCUGAAUUGGUCUGGUCCAGUCCAAUCGCUGUUCUGGCUCCCAGGUUUAAAGAACCAGGAUCAGAGAGCCCGGUCAGAGGCUCGUGUGAUGGGGAGGGGGGCAUGAUUUGACGUGGUUGUUCAUUUAAUCCGCAGCGGUGGAGGUGUAUGCAGCACGAUUCUUCUGUGCUCAGCUUGCGUAUUGUGUCGCCACUUGCUGAAUCUCGUGGGGAAGGGGAUGUGUGUGGGAGUGGUCUUUCUUGCUUUUCCUUUCCUCCCUGUGCGGCUGUGUUCGGUUACGCUCAGCCUGGCGAGGUUUUGGGUCCAAUCCACGCGGGUCCGCAGGGAUUACCCCCGCCGGGGAAUAAACCCGGCUCAUCCAUUUUUUCUCGUUCGGUUAAGCCCCGCGUUGUAUUUCCCCGGCCCAAACCUCUCCAAACCCACGCGGAAAAAAUCAUCCACUAGCACCCCGUGGAAGGAAUCCCCGAGCGAGGCGCUCGUCUCAUCUCUCCCGAGCGACAGAAGCGGCGGCAAGGAGGCGGCGGGGACGAGUGGACGGCGGCGGCGCAACCUACCCGGAGGAGGAGGAUGCCCUCCUGCUUCGACGACCUGCCACGAAGCCCGCCGGAACCCUAGCCUCUGAUUGUCCCAUCUCCCCGGCCGCCCCCUUGCCGCGGCCGGAACCCGCUAGCUCCGGAGAAGUGGUUGCUGCAGGCGAGGAGAUCUCUGAUAUAGGCUAGCUUCGUCACCUCACAGCUGCAGCAAGACCCUGAAUUGGGCAGCAUCGUGAAGGACAAGGAGUUCUACAUAAGAAUGCUCCAGAAGAAGGACGAAGGUGCCGCGACUUGGAUCUAUUUGUGUGUGCUUUUCAGUGGAAGGCUUCAUAUCUAUUCGCUGGGUUUUGGGAGGAACUGAUAAUUAAGCUCUUGUGGUCUAUUCAACAUAUUAUAUAUUAUGUAUGCUCCAAAUUGCUAUUAUUUUUGUUAGUAUUUGUGCCCUGUUCAAAUCUUAGAAUUGUUGUUAUUGUUAGGAUAAUAAGUGUUUUAAACCUUCAGUGCUAUUGUCACUUCAGUCUGCAUCUGUGUCAUUACUACAUGAGAAUUGUUGUUAUCUAUAUGUA